RNAcentral lists this long non-coding RNA (1473 nucleotides) under Mytilus galloprovincialis (Mediterranean mussel). The record is from RNAcentral. Lineage: Eukaryota; Metazoa; Mollusca; Bivalvia; Mytilida; Mytilidae.
UUUUGAUAUAUUUUUCAGCUCUGUCAGACAUAUUAGCCCUGAUUAUCUCCCCUCGUUAUGUAUUUUGAUAUAUUUUUCAGCUCCGUCAGACAUAUUAGCCCUGAUUAUCUCCCCUCGUUAUGUAUUUUGAUAUAUUUUUCAGCUCUGUCGGACAUAUUAGCCCUGAUUAUCUACCCUGUGAAGUUUAAGGAAGAGAUUAUGGUACACGAGGAUGUGAGGCGCUGGGACUUUGACUGGACUUAUGGUUUUGGUUGGGGAGCAUUCAUCUUCUCAGCAGCAGCAUCAGUGUUCUUCUUCAUUCCAUCAGGAACAAAAGAAAUUUCCAGAAAGUCAUUUUCAUCUGAUAUUUGACACUGCUGUCUAUUAACAGCUACUGCAAUGCAUAAUUUCUGUGUAUAAAUGAUCUCAUGUUUUAAAGUAUUAGAUUUCAUGAAGAAGCUUUUUUUGACCAUGUUGACAUUUGUCUCUUUUUUUUAUAGGUUUUAAAAAAUUGGGAAGCUUAUAAUUUAGUAAUAAUGUGCAGAACUCAAAUACAAGUAUCUUUACAAUUAACCAUUUCCAAUCAGAAAAGAUAAUUAUUUUUUAUUAAGUCAGUACUCAUUGUGAACUACACUUUUUAAGAUGUCAAUUAAUGAUUUACUAUCUUAAAAAAUAUUUAAUGAUAAACUUUUGUUUAAAAGUUCACAUAAUGGUGUAGUUACAUUUACAAUACCAUGUACAAGUGCAAUAUGAAAAUGUAUAUUAUGUAUGGUGUUAACUGUGUGAUAUACUGUUGGGUUAGAGUAUUUAUCUUGCCAUUGUUAUACCUGUUAAUUUGUUGACUAUAUUAUCAAAUCAAAGGACUGGUUUGUUUUAACUAUAUAUUGAGUGUAUUUGUUAACAGUGUAAUCAACCACAAGAUGGCAUAAGGAAACACUAAUUGUGUAAUUCUUUAUCAGCCUGGAGUUACCUUUCCCUUAGAGAGGUCAUCCAUACAUGGUAUCAUUGUUUAUACAUGGUUGUUUUGAUACCCAGAGAUUAUUAAUAUAUCUGAUUUAAAUACUCCUACAUGUUCUAUGAGUUGUCAAGUAUUUGUAUAUGUUCCGUACCGUAUGAGUUUUUGGACUGUACAUACCUUCAUGGUCAGGCAAUAUGAGUAUCUAUUUCCUCGUUUGGUUAUUAAAAACGGACCCUAUGAGUAUUUAGACCAUAUCAGUAUGUUUGUGUUUACAAAAAAACUAAUUGAAACACAAAAAAGUUUAAAAAAACAGACGGUUCAUUGUUUCAAUUGACUUGUUGCUUUACAGUUCUGUUAGUUAUUUUCUGAGUUGACAUAUUGUGUUUCAUAAGAUAAUGACUAUACAGUAUAUACAUGUGACAUGACAAUACAUGUAUGGUCCAAAUACUCAUAGGUCAAGAACAUAUAUAACGUAACGGCACCCUAAUUGCACCGAGUACCCAAAUUGCACCUAUUUAGCAAAACUAGCAGCGAAA